This 497-nucleotide ribosomal RNA is filed under the name uncultured bacterium. Its description in RNAcentral is "partial 16S ribosomal RNA". It matches the Rfam family "Bacterial small subunit ribosomal RNA", at positions 28 to 507 of the family's 1533-position model. The record is from RNAcentral.
GAUGAACGCUGGCGGCGUGCCUAAUACAUGCAAGUCGAGCGAACAGACGAGGAGCUUGCUCCUCUGACGUUAGCGGCGGACGGGUGAGUAACACGUAGAUAACCUACCUAUAAGACUGGGAUAACUUCGGGAAACCGGAGCUAAUACCGGAUAAUAUAUUGAACCGCAUGGUUCAAUAGUGAAAGACGGUUUUGCUGUCACUUAUAGAUGGAUCCGCGCCGCAUUAGCUAGUUGGUAAGGUAACGGCUUACCAAGGCAACGAUGCGUAGCCGACCUGAGAGGGCGAUCGGCCACACUGGAACUGAGACACGGUCCAGACUCCUACGGGAGGCAGCAGUAGGGAAUCUUCCGCAAUGGGCGAAAGCCUGACGGAGCAACGCCGCGUGAGUGAUGAAGGUCUUCGGAUCGUAAAACUCUGUUAUUAGGGAAGAACAAAUGUGUAAGUAACUAUGCACGUCUUGACGGUACCUAAUCAGAAAGCCACGGCUAACUACGUG